RNAcentral lists this ribosomal RNA (253 nucleotides) under uncultured bacterium. RNAcentral describes it as "partial 16S ribosomal RNA". It matches the Rfam family "Bacterial small subunit ribosomal RNA", at positions 524 to 776 of the family's 1533-position model. The record is from RNAcentral.
UACGGAGGGUGCAAGCGUUAUCCGGAUUUAUUGGGUUUAAAGGGUCCGUAGGCGGAUCCGUAAGUCAGUGGUGAAAUCUCAUAGCUUAACUAUGAAACUGCCAUUGAUACUGCGGGUCUUGAGUGAGAUUGAGGUAGCUGGAAUAAGUAGUGUAGCGGUGAAAUGCAUAGAUAUUACUUAGAACACCAAUUGCGAAGGCAGGUUACCAAGUCUUAACUGACGCUGAGGGACGAAAGCGUGGGGAGCGAACAGG